AAGUUAUAGAGCAUUGAAGAUAACACAUGUAAUUCAAAGGUACUAAGUUAUUUUAUUGAUAGUAAUGGCUGGAGCCAUAUCUUAAGCUACCAGAGAAAUUUUUAGUUCAAAAUUUCCAAAACUUUGUGUCAUUAAGUUAAAAAGCUAUAUAUCAAACUUUUAUGAUAUUUGAAUAUUUAGUUUGUAAGAUAUAAAGAAAAUUUCAUCCAAGUAUAUGUAAACAAAGAUUUGAAGCUACUGUUAGGAUUUUAGCAAUAUCUUAAGAUCCAUAACAAAUUUUUUUUUGAAAUUUAUUGUCGUAUUUGUUAAAGUAUAUUAAUAUUCCAUGUAAAAUUUUGGUUUAUUUGAAUAGUCCAAUCAUGAGAUAUGAGUUGUUGAAGUUUGGAAAAAAUUCACUUUAAGGAUA
Molecule: long non-coding RNA, 406 nt
Filed under: Physcomitrium patens
Lineage: Eukaryota; Viridiplantae; Streptophyta; Bryopsida; Funariales; Funariaceae
Description: long non-coding RNA (PPAT_LNC000600)
Source: RNAcentral